CUUGCAGAGGUUAUUGGCAUUCUGUCCAUCUCCAAGUCAUCCAUCUCUCGUGAACAUGGAGAAGCUUAUAGAUGGAGGUGGGCAUCCUGCCAACAGAUCUCUGUUGG
Non-coding RNA from Musa acuminata subsp. malaccensis (wild Malaysian banana), 107 nucleotides. The record is from Rfam. Lineage: Eukaryota; Viridiplantae; Streptophyta; Magnoliopsida; Zingiberales; Musaceae.